GAUAAACGCUGGCGGCGUGCUUAACACAUGCAAGUCGAACGAAGUUUUUCCUUCUGGAGAAACUUAUUGGCGGACGGGUGAGUAACUCGUGGGUAACCUGCCCUGUACAGGGGUUCAACAGCUGUAAACGGCUUCUAAUACCGCAUAAGCCCUUAGCACUGCAUGGUGCAUAGGGAAAAGGAGCAAUCCGGUACAGGAUGGACCCGCGUCUGAUUAGCCAGUUGGCAGGGUAACUGCCUACCAAAGCGACGAUCAGUAGCCGAUCGGAGAGGAUGUACGGCCACAAUGGGACUGAGACACGGACCAGACUCCUACGGGAGGCAGCAGUGGGGAAUAUAGCACAAUGGAGGAAAAUCUGAUGAAGCGACGCCGCGUGAGUGAAGAAGUAGUUCGGUAUGUAAAGCUCUAUCAGAAGGGAAGAAAAUGACGGUACCUGACAAAGAAGCACCGGCUAAAUACGUG
This 462-nucleotide ribosomal RNA is filed under the name uncultured bacterium. RNAcentral describes it as "partial 16S ribosomal RNA". It matches the Rfam family "Bacterial small subunit ribosomal RNA", at positions 28 to 507 of the family's 1533-position model. The record is from RNAcentral.